AGAGGCUCAAGUCGACAGACGACGGCGUAAAGAGUGGUUAAGGAAAACAUUUAACUAAAGCGGAACACCCUCAUAGCUGUUAUACGCUUCCGAGGGCAUGAACCCCAACUACGAAGGUGGCUUUACACUACCUGAACCCACGAAAGCUAAGAAACAAACUGGGAUUAGAUACCCCACUAUGCUUAGCCUUAAACAUUGAUUGUUUACCACAUCAAACAUCCGCCUGGGAAUUACGAACACUA
Molecule: ribosomal RNA, 242 nt
Filed under: Ferdauia ferdau (blue trevally)
Lineage: Eukaryota; Metazoa; Chordata; Actinopteri; Carangiformes; Carangidae
Description: partial small subunit ribosomal RNA
Source: RNAcentral